CUCCUCUUGUUAUAUAAGAGGUACCGUCUGCUCAAUGCAAUUUGUAAAUAGCCGCAGUAUUCUGACUGUGCUAAGGUAGCAUAAUCAUUAGUCUUUUAAUUGGAGGCUGGUAUGAAUGACGAGACGAGAAAAUGNCUGUCUCUAUAAUAAAUUUUGAAUUUUAUUUUUAAGUGAAAAAGCUUAAAUGAUUUUGAAGGACGAUCAGACCCUAUGGAGCUUUAUUUAUUUUUAAAUUUAAAUUUGUUUAAGAUGAUUGGAUGAAAAAUAAAUUUUGUUGGGGCGACAGGGAGUAAAAGAUAACACUCUUUUUUAUAAACAAUUAUAUUUGGAAAAUUGAUCCUUAUAGAGAGAUUAAAAGACUAAGUUACCCUAGGGAUAACAGCGUAAUCUUUUUGGAGAGUUCAAAUCGAUAAAAAGGUUUGCGACCUCGAUGUUGGAUUAAGAGAUUAGCAAGGUGCAGAAGUUUUGUUGGAGAGUCUGUUCGACUCU
RNAcentral lists this ribosomal RNA (489 nucleotides) under Daphnia reflexa. Its description in RNAcentral is "partial 16S ribosomal RNA". It matches the Rfam family "Bacterial large subunit ribosomal RNA", at positions 1832 to 2588 of the family's 2925-position model. Lineage: Eukaryota; Metazoa; Arthropoda; Branchiopoda; Diplostraca; Daphniidae. The record is from RNAcentral.